UACUCCCAGUCAUGGCUGACUCCUCCCUUUCCUUCGUUCUUGUUCCUAACAGUGAAGGAUCCAGUGAGAUUUUCCAGGUUAACGGUCAUAAUCGCCUACUGGUCCAACGUUCAGAAGUAACACAGGCACCUGGACAAUACACAGUAGAUGUGGAAGGACACGGUUGUACAUUUAUCCAGAUACACUGGAAUUCGCAAUAAAUCCAGUAUGGUGGUUAUAGAUGUAAAAAUGCUAUCAGGAUUUACUCCAACCAUGUCAUCCAUUGAAGAGGGUUUUGGUCGAGCAGACAGUUUCCCUUUUUCUGUUGAGCAGAGCAACCUUGUGUUCAACAUUCAGCCAGCCCCAGCCAUGGUCUACGAUUACUAUGAAAAAGGUAGGCAAGCAACAGCCAUGCCCUAAG
Molecule: long non-coding RNA, 400 nt
Filed under: Homo sapiens (human)
Lineage: Eukaryota; Metazoa; Chordata; Mammalia; Primates; Hominidae
Description: non-protein coding lnc-KLRB1-12:1
Source: RNAcentral